RNAcentral lists this ribosomal RNA (2955 nucleotides) under Triticum aestivum (bread wheat). Its description in RNAcentral is "partial small subunit ribosomal RNA". Lineage: Eukaryota; Viridiplantae; Streptophyta; Magnoliopsida; Poales; Poaceae. The record is from RNAcentral.
AUGGCGCCGCUCAUAACCAUCUCGCCGGUAGUGAUGGCGGCGGCGCUGAUGCUGCUGACGUCGCGGCCGCUCUUGGCCGGGGCGGUGGUUAAACCAGAGGAGGCGAUAGGGAUGCCCGGCUGCGACACCGCCUGCGGCGACAUGAAGGUGCCGUACCCCUUUGGCAUGGGUUCCCCCAGUUGCUACUGGCCAGGGUUCAACCUCACCUGCGACCGCACCGGCGAGACUCCGCGGCUGCUGUUCGGCGACGGAAGCCUCCAAGUCCAAGAUAUCGACUUCGCAAAUUCCAUGCUGUCCGUCACACACACCGGCGAGAUAAAAACCGACGCCAACGGCAGUGGCUGGUUUGUCGGGGGUAUCAGGGACGACGGACUCUAUAUGCUGUCAUCUGACAGCGAGCUCGUCCUGACAGGCUGCAACGUGCGGGCGACACUCAAAGACGGCGGUGGUGCCACCAUCAGCAGCUGCUCCUCGCUCUGCGGAGCCGGUCAUGAACCAGUCACGUACGUGCCUUCCAGGCUCCAAGGCGGGAUGCUGUGCACUACCAUAGGCUGCUGCCAGGCGGACAUCGUCGACCAGCCGGUGGAGGCCGCGUCGAAGCUUUCCUACGGUGUCCAGCUAGAUUACUUUGGCGGGAAUCGCACCACGGACCUGGAGAGGCUGCCGGCGCGCGUGUUUGUCGCGACGAAGGGGUGGUUCAAGCAGCCCAGUGUAUCCGACGAGCUUUUGCAGACGAGCCGGGCGCCGUCGCAGGACGCUAUGGCGGUUCCAGUUUCGUUAUGGUGGCAGGUCGUCGGCCAUGGCGUGGAGCCCGACAGCAACGCGACCCCGGAGGUGUGCCCCGAGAACGCAGCUAGGAGCGUGUGCAGGAGCAACGACAGCGUCUGCUCCAAGGGUUCAAAAGGAUAUAGUUGCCUCUGCGAGAGUGGUUACCAGGGCAAUCCCUACGUCGCCGGCGGCUGCACAGACGUCGACGACUGCAAGGAGGAAGACGCGAUCAGGUGCUACGGCGUUUGUACGAACACUGCAGGAUCAUACGAGUGCCCGUGCCCGGCUGGAACCCAUGGUGACUCUUCCGUGCCCGGGGGCUGCGUCGCUUCCCGUGCAGCUGGUAGGUGCAGCCAUUCAUGCGGGGACGUGGACGCGCCAUUUCCGUUUGGAAUUGGCCCGGUUGGUUGCUACUGGCCAGGGUUCAACCUCACCUGCGACCACAGCAGCAACCCGCCGCGGCUGUUCCUCGACAGCCAGCGUGACCUCUUCCGUGUCCAGAAGAUCUCCCUCCUAGACAACACAGUGAUCGUCCUCGUCGACGGUGCGAGCACAUUAACGACCAGCAGGUUUUCCCGUGCUAGUGGCAUGUUUGAGCGUGUCUUCACGGGUCGUGGAGACACGCCCUACUCACUGUCGACCACCGGCAACGAGCUCAUUCUCGUAGGGUGCAACGUUCAGGCGUUUCUGAUUGACGACGAGGACAUGACCACCAUCGCCGGUUGCACCUCCUUCUGCCCCGUCAACAGCUCAACUGGCAGUACGUACACCUCGAGGCAGGUACGGUUUGGCGGCAGCGACAGGUACUGCUAUGGCAUCGGCUGCUGCCAGGCGCGCAUCUCCAUAUCCGCGAACUACAACACGGCCGGAGGGUGGAUAAUCGACAGAAUCGACGAGAACCAGGCAACGCAGGGCAAAAUUUCGCCGCCUGCGGCCAUGCUGACCGCGGCGGAGGGGUGGUUCGACCAGCGGCAGGUCUCCGACAUGCUGGCCCGAGACUUUCAGCACCACCGUAGAGGAUUGAGAUCUGAGCUGCAUGUCCCCGUUAUUUUAGAAUGGGAGGUCGUGCAAGGCUUGCCUGGGCGGGCGGCCGACGCCAAGUUGCAGCAUCCAAUGGCGACUUGUCCCGCGGAGGUAGCCAACAGUCUCUGCAAGAGCAAGCACAGCGAUUGCAAACGUGGGAGAAGAGGCUAUUUGUGCCAGUGCAGCAAUGGCUACGUCGGCAACCCCUACAAAAAAGAGGGAUGCAAAGGUGACCGGAAGUCCUUAAGUACAGGUAUAUACAUAAACUAUGGGGGUUGCUAUUGGGGCUGUCGUCAUACUUUCGUUCUUCAUUGCACUUUUCAUUUCAAAGAAAAUUAAACAUCGGCGGGCACAAAUGUUGAAGCGGCAUUUCUUCUUGAAGAAUCGUGGACAGUUGUUGCAACAGUUGGUAUCUCAAAGAGCCGAUAUUGCGGAAAGAAUGGUUAUAACCUUGGAAGAGAUUGAGAAGGCCACAAACAAUUUUGAUAAAACACGUGAGCUUGGUGGCGGAGGGCAUGGCAUGGUUUACAAAGGGAUCUUAUCGGACCUCCAUGUUGUGGCCAUCAAGAAACCAAAAAAGUGGUUCAGAAGGAGAUUGAUGAGUUCAUUAAUGAGGUUGCCAUCCUAUCACAGAUCAACCAUAGAAAUGUAGUAAAACUAUAUGGUUGCUGCCUUGAAACCGAAGUGCCCUUGUUGGUUUAUGAGUUCAUAUCCAAUGGUACCCUCUAUGAACAUCUUCACGUUGAGGGGCCAAGAUCUUUGUCGUUGGAUGAUAGGUUGCAGAUAGCAACUGAAACAGCUAAAUCUCUAGCAUAUCUUCACUCUACGGCUUCAAUACCUAUCAUCCACAGAGAUAUCAAGUCUGUUAACAUACUUCUCGAUGAUACUCUGACGGCAAAGGUGGCUGAUUUUGGUGCUUCAAGAUACAUUCCCGUGGAUAGGUCAGGAGUAACAACAAUGGUGCAAGGUACAAUCGGAUAUUUGGACCCCAUGUACUUUUAUACACAAAGGCUCACAGAGAAGAGUGACGUUUAUAGUUUUGGUGUCAUUCUUAUAGAGCUGUUGACCAAAAAAAGCCAUUUGCAUACAUUUCGUUGGAUGGUGAAGGCCUUGUUGCACAUUUUUCUGCUUUGCUUACUGAAGGCAAUUUGUCACAAAUACUAG